Molecule: small RNA, 787 nt
Filed under: Histoplasma ohiense
Lineage: Eukaryota; Fungi; Ascomycota; Eurotiomycetes; Onygenales; Ajellomycetaceae
Description: hypothetical lncRNA
Source: RNAcentral
GGACAGAAUCUGCUCAACAUAAUUCCUAAAGUCGAUACUGAACUGGUGCAGCUGGUCGGCGUUCAUUGUCCUGAGGCAUUUCACAGCAAUGUCGCCCUCAAUGCGAGUAGUCAACAGCCAACCUUCCCUUAUCCAACCUUCCUUUUUCGCUGGCAACUCUAUGAGAUCGAAAACCCGCGGCGCAUUCACUGUUGUGUAUUUUUUGCAACCAUUUUAAGCGCAUAUGCUUCAUAUUGGGCACGAAGGAGCCGGAAACGUUUGAGAUACAGAUUAAAGGAUAACCGUUGGACAUUGGGGACAUGGUAGGUCCCCUUGCCACAGAGAUGCUCGCCAAUUGGGAGGAGAAGGCGAUAAAAGAGAAGACGGAUGGAUUGUGGGAUUAGAUGGUAGAGUCGAAGUAGCAUUGCGGGCAGCUGCGGCAACACACUGAAAUCAGCAAGGGUGAUGUAUUUUGAGUGUAAAGGAAGAAUCUCGCUGGUUGAGGUUGGAUGCUUUGAAUUAGAUAGACUGCGUGUUAUGCUCCAUUCCAAAUCAUCGGUCCAAUGAGACUAUUGCUCAACUGAAUCCUUCACAGUUUUAUUUGUCUUUGGUAGUCCUUGGGUGAUUUAUAGAUUGAAAGAGAGAAGUAGUUUGUCUGGUUGACAGUCAGUUGCAGCACUAAAUUUGGACUAAAGAGUGUUACCAUUUGCUCAGUUGAAACUUGAUGGUGACCAAUUCCAAUUCAUAUUUAUGUUUAAAAAUGUAGUUCUUAUUAUUGGUGUAUCCAACAAACCUGAUGGUCAAGGGG